This 305-nucleotide ribosomal RNA is filed under the name uncultured bacterium. Its description in RNAcentral is "bacterial SSU rRNA". It matches the Rfam family "Bacterial small subunit ribosomal RNA", at positions 335 to 656 of the family's 1533-position model. The record is from RNAcentral.
UUCCUCCGGGAGGCAGCAGUGGGGAAUAUUGGGCAAUGGGCGAAAGCCUGACCCAGCAACGCCGCGUGAAGGAAGAAGGCUUUCGGGUUGUAAACUUCUUUUGACAGGGAAGAGCAGAAGACGGUACCUGUCGAAUAAGCCACGGCUAACUACGUGCCAGCAGCCGCGGUAAUACGUAGGUGGCAAGCGUUCUCCGGAUUUACUGGGUGUAAAGGGCGUGUAGCCGGGCUGACAAGUCAGAUGUGAAAUCCGGGGGCUCAACCCCCGAACUGCAUUUGAAACUGUGUUUCUUGAGUGCUGGAGAG